CUCGAACUUCAACUUCGAGGGAAUCAGAGGUUGAUGAGCAACUAAGACAACAACAACAACAAGUUCAACAACUAUCUCAACAAGUUCAGAUGAUGCAGGGAAUGCUGAUGCAGAUGUAUAGUGCUCAGAUGGGAUCUCAAAUGGGACCCCAGUUCACCCGUCCGUCACAAUCUGGAUAGACCCCAAACACCAAUGAAAC
This is a long non-coding RNA of Zea mays, 199 nucleotides long. RefSeq lists it as uncharacterized. The transcript has 3 exons. The record is from RefSeq and is a predicted model, not a curated record. NCBI's taxonomy places the organism in Eukaryota, Viridiplantae, Streptophyta, Magnoliopsida, Poales, Poaceae.